Molecule: long non-coding RNA, 345 nt
Filed under: Bos taurus (domestic cattle)
Lineage: Eukaryota; Metazoa; Chordata; Mammalia; Artiodactyla; Bovidae
Description: long non-coding RNA NONBTAT023222
Source: RNAcentral
GGCUAUCCAGUUGGAAGGGACCUGUCAAGAAAGGCAUGAGGCCUUAGGAUGGUCACCCUUAGAGAGCAAGGCUGUGUAUUCACAGCACCAACAAAAACCAAACUCAAGGUUAAAAUUGCAGCCAGGUAUUUAGUUAACUUGUCAUCUUCAGUAUACUAUUUAUUUUUUUUCUGAAUUGAAUUGGAGAAAGUGAAAGAAGUGGAAUAGAACAGAGGAAGCAAGACAAAGAUAUAUGUGUGCACUCAGCUGGAGGGAGGGACCUCAGAGAUAAGAAGAGGGCAACACCCCCAGGUGACAGAGCUGGUAGCAGAGAUGGUGCUCAGAGGUGCCUGGACACUAAUUGAG